UGGGGAGGACUAGGCCCAGUCUGUGCUCACU
RNAcentral lists this non-coding RNA (31 nucleotides) under Rattus norvegicus (Norway rat). Lineage: Eukaryota; Metazoa; Chordata; Mammalia; Rodentia; Muridae. The record is from RNAcentral.